AUGUUCAUGCAAUAAGAAUGGAACAUUCAAAAACAUGGAAUCCACAGGCAGAAUAAGAUCACUAAUUGUCAUACCAUAUGACAUAGCAAACAUGUUCAAACACAAACUACAUAGCUGCAACUAUACAUUCCACAGUAUGGAAUCAUAGAAGCUUAGUAAGCAGAAGAGCACAAAUAAUACAAGCAUACCCAAUGUUCUUCAUAAAUACGAGUCAUAGCAGCAAAAGUAGCAGCAGAUCACUGCUCACUUCGUAAUUAGUCCCACAUGGCCCUGAACCAAUUCAACCAUCCACGCUGCUCCUUCCUCCCCAUCCUCCUCCCAAAUUUGAGCUCCUUCUUGCCCAUCUCCAUCUCCUCCUCAUCAUCGGAGUCCGAAUCCGAGUCCUCCUCGUCGGCCCUCUUCUUCUUGUGCUCCUUGUUCUUUCUCGUCCUCCUCCUCUCCCCUUCCCACUCCGUCGCCAAAGGCCACUCCAUCCGGCCCUCCCUGCCCUCGGCCUCAGAUCCGGCGUCCACUUCGCCGCCCUUGGGGAGCGGGAUCAUGUCGUUUCCGUAGGGGACGAUCCUGACGCCGUGGAACCGGUGGCCGUGGCGGUCGUGGUGGUGGUGGUGGCAGCGGUGGCGGCGGAAGUGGUGGUGCACGGGGCGGCGAAGAGAGAGGUCAACGUGGUCGAAUCCCUCGACGAAUUCGGGGAUGGGAUGCUCCGACGUUAUCUUCUCGAUCGAGGCGGUUAGGGUUGUCAGGUCCGCAUCCUCGGCCGGGACCAGUUCGGCGGUCGUCGGAUCGAAGUCCUCCGGCACCUCACGGAAGUCGACGGCCGUGGUCGCGUCGGGGGCGAGGGGGACGCGGGUGGCGUGGGAGAGAAGGAAGAGGAGGGAGAAGACGACGGAGAGGAUGACGGAGAUCUUGACGGAAACCAUGGAUUCGGGUAACGGCGGUCAAUUCUAAGAAAUGUGCGUUUGUGGGACGCUCUGCAUCCGUUAUUUAUAGAUGAAGGCAACGGAGUGACCGGUCAACCUCGAUGGUAAGAAUAAAACCACUCAUUUUUAAUACUUUUAAUUUGUUUUUCUUAAAUAUUCUUUAAGUUUGAUUUAUAGAUGAUAAUUAUCAUAUAAAUAGUUAUAGUUCCCAGAAAAUGCUUUUGCUUUUUAUAAAAUAAAGCAUCUUAAAUAGUAUCUUAAAUUAAACAAUUAAUUUUCUUAAAUAGUAUCUUUAAUUAAAAAAUAUAUUAACUAUCUUUCAAAAAUUUUCUAGUGUUUUAACCUGUUAUAAUAUUUUGAUCAUCAAAAUAAAAACAUUAUAAGACUUACACAGUAAAAGUAUUGUAAGAUCAAUUCAAAAAUAUUAUAAAUAAUCUACAUGAACGUUUAACCUUAAUCAAAUUAAUUAUAAAUAUAAAAAUAUAAUAUUAUAAUAAUCUAUGAGCAAUAACAAUCAACAAUAUGAUAUCACUUAUAAUAUUUUUAAUAUCUUAAUAAAUCACUAUAACGUCAUUGGAAAACAUGGUAAAGAAGUCAAAUGAAAAUAUUCUAAUAGUUAAAAACUGAUUAAAAAUAUACAAAAAUGUUUGAUACAAUUUUUUUAGGGAUAUUUUAGGUUUUUUAAAAUUAGAGAUACUGUUUGAAAAAAAGAGAAAUUUUUUUCAAAAAAAAUAUAUAAAAUAUGAAAACUCGAGGAUUAAGUAUUUAGAUAUCUUUUUCCCGACAUCAACUGAAUUAAACUAGCAAAAAGAAUAUAAUAUAUCAGAGAGCAUAUAAAUACAUUGCUUGUUUCCUAUUUUAAAUUUUACAGCCUGGCACCACACAACUAUUAUAGUCUUAGAAUUUACGUGUAUUCGGUGCAGGUUAAACGUGGAAAGUCGUCUGAAUCAAUUAGUUUAAUUACGACCUGCUUCACUUUCUCUGGACUGCACAACACGCGGACGAUUUAGUCAAACGAUUACGCACACGCUGCUGUCAUUGAUUGCAACAACACACCAAUAUAAUCUUCGUUCCUUCAAUCAUGUUGCAUUGCUUAACAACGAAGGAGCCUCAGUCAAUUGUAUCUCCAAAUUGACCACUGCAGCUGUUCGUGGACUUCGUCCCUAAAGGACAACAUGUGGGAAAGAUCGAGAAGACAAGAAGGUCGGAAGAGGAGAUGGAGAGGAAGAGGUCGGUCACGGGUAGGAUUCUAGGAGAUAGAAAACUAUUAACAGGAAAUGGAUAAAAAGAGGGAAAAGAUAUAAAUAAAAUAAUUAUAUUAUAUGUGGGUUAACAAUUGUGAUUUAUAUUAGUUAUGAUUGAAUAACUUGGUACUUUGGAGGAUUUGGAUUUGGAUUUGGAUGAUAUAAGAUAGGAAAAUUAUGGCUUCUCCCUAAAUAUUUCUUUUUCAUACAUUUUCUAUUUUCACAUAAAAUUUCUGGCACCUCCGCUUUCCGUUGAUCCUAUACGACAAAGGUCCGAUGGGCUUUCCCUUUAGCCCAAUGCAGGUCCCUAACUCGACUUCCGCCCGCUCACCCUUCACUCGAUUCUCUGCCCUCGCUUUCGCCUAAUCCCUAAUCGAGUCACUCUUCGGCUCCGACAUGGUCGAUGGUGCCAAUGCCCUCCUCGCUGAUUCCUUCGCGGAAACCUCAACUUUCCCACGGACCCGUUUCUUCGGUCUCCUCCUCUCUCUCUACCCUGUCAAAUCCGAUGAUUCUUUGCCGCCGCAUCCUUUCGCUACUCCAUUCGGUGACCCUCAGAAUUCUGAUGAAUUGCCACUGCAAGUCGGGCCGCUUGGACGUCGCACACCAAGUGUUCGAUCAUACGAUAUAUGGUUAUUGAACUCCACGUGAUCCCUUGCAAUGUAUUAAUCCAAUUCUUCAGAAGGAAAGGACGGAUCUUUGAUGCAUUCAACGGUCUACGUGAGACGCGGAAGAGCAGGCCGAAUCGGCGGGCAUACGCAAUUGCAGACGAUGCGGAAGACGGUUCUUUUAACGUGACUCGUUUGCGAAUUAGGUUGGUUCCGAGUGCGAUCGCUUGUAAUUAUGGUUUCGAUGGGCUUGAUAAAGAAGGAAAGGUGCAAGCUUCGAGGGUUCAAGUUGGAAAACAGGGGAAAUGUGGUAUCAUAAGCUGGUUUUACCAGUAAAAGAAAGAUUGAAGAUGCAAAGUAUGGUUUUUGUCGAUAUGUCUGACAAGGGGUUAUGUCCGGAUGCUACGACAUACGCAGGCAAAUUUAAUAAUUUAUUCUAUUGUCUCGCAGGUGUUUUGCAUAGAGUUGAGAUUGAGGAAUAAUUUUGGUGCUUCACGAAUUUUUUUCUAACUGCUGUUGUGCAUCUACUGGUAAUUCCUCUUAUUCUCAAAUAUGUUUGUCAGUUUGUUCAACUUGCCAUUCUCAGAACACAAGAAACAACCAAAACAAAUUAGAAAAGGUUUCAUCAUGAGAAAUGCUGACGCAAUGUGGAUCUUAAGCUACAGUUUUGAGGAGAAAUUAAUUCAAAAUAUGAAGUUAGAAAAUAUGAAGUUGUGCUACCUAAGACUUCAAAGCUGAUGACGCUGGUAAUAAACUUCAUGGUGCUAUCAAGGAUAUAGUGGCUUGGUCUAGUGAACUUUGAAACUCUGAUUAUUUGAUCUAAACUUUGGUAUCAGUGCUUUUUUACAUUCACAUUGUUUGUUAAAAUUUUUGUUGCAUUCAUGUAUCUAUUUAGGCUUUAUUAGUUUGCGUUUUCUUUUCUUGUAUGCAUUUUGGGGAAAAUGAGUUAUGAGGGUCACCUCACAUACAUGGGAGGCAGAAGGUUCUCAAAAAUCUGAGAAUUAGUUUCUAGAUUUUUUUAUGAAUUACUUUCCAAUCUUCUUUUCCUUUUGUUGUUGUCGUUACUGUCGGAUGUGAGUUUCUUUUAGUUUGUUUCAGUAUUCUUGUGUAAUUUUUCCAUGCUGAUAGAUGUAUAAUGAUGGUAUGUCUCAUCAGUGAUGAUUGUGGUACUAAGGAAGCAGAACUUGUAUGUCUGUUGUAGCAAUUCACCUUUAUCUUAUGAUGCCAUGAAGGUUUCAUACAUCAUAUUGAACUUUUUGAUCACAUCUGUUUUUGUAAAUGUUUCGUUCUGCUUGUUUUACAUAUUUGGGAAUCUAGGUAAAAAGGAUAUUUAUGUACUUGCCAUAAUACUUGUAAAUUGCAUUUGCUUUGUUUUUGUCGAACAUCUUCUGUGCAUUCAUGUGGUGACUAUUUAUUUGUCUGAAAACUAUCCUUCCACCCAGUUGUGCUAGACAAUAUUUCUUUAUGAGCAAACCCACACUGCUUUCGUGCAGGGCACUAGGUUCUAACUUUGACCUUGCAGAGUAUAGCUUCUGACAAUGGCUUUAUCAUGACGGAGCUGCAUGUUGAGAUUAGUAAUGUGUCCACCAUAGUGGUUGCUACAUUGACUGCAUUUCCACAUUCCAGACAGUAGAAUUUGCUACUGGAGAUUGUGGUGACACUCUCUGCACAAUAAUAAAGUAAAAGCUUUUGAUGUAUUUGUGCCAGUACAUUCUAGUGUGCAUGUGCAUUUGAAGCACGUCUGUUUGUACAAUGCAAAUAUAUGCAAAUGCUACUUGUGUAAUUCAUUAGCUUUAGGUUUAUAAAUGUAGCACAAUCAUGAUCAAUGUUUUAUUUUAGUCUUUGACAAUAUGCAGAAUUGAGACUUGUAGUUACAUGAGAUAAUAUCAAAGGUGUGGUUGUUUAUCCUCCUCAACAUAACUCAUUGCUAAAUAGCUCCUCUUGUUUUCUCUUGCACUAAUAAUAACUUACAUGAUGUAAAUUGCAAACUCAUGAGUAUUUUCACAUUUUCUCGCUGGCAUAGUCUUAUUAUUUUGAUAUAUAUUGAUCCUCAACAAGUAUAGCAAUAUUAGUCUUUAGUUUUGAACUUAUUUCUGAUUGUCUUGCAGUUCUUUGUUCACCUAAGUGGUAUUGUGAAAUAAUAGGAUUGGUUCUUGCCAUGUUCUUCUGCAUACAACCAUAUAUUUGAUCACUUCAUAUCUGUCUGAACUAAUUUGCUUCUCUAAAUAAGCUGCAAUUCAAGUGUAAAUUUAAUUUUGACUCGGAACCACCAAAACUACCUGGUUCUCAUUAGAGAGACUUAACACAAUCAAACUUGUAGAAGCACAAGGACAAGGCAUCUCUACAGUCUUUUAGAUAAUAAAGCUUGAAUAUAAGUACUUGAACUAAUCUAAGUCAAAUCAAAUCUAACUUAUAAAAGCACAAGGAAAUAACAUCUCUAGAGAUUUUGGUAGAUGAUAAAAGCUUGUCUCUAGUUACUUGAAAUUAAGUAUUCAAAAAUCUAUUAGUCACCUAUAUGAUGAAAACAAAGAGAUGCUACUAACUUCAUUCCAGUUGUUUGUUUCAUUUUCUUGUGUCUUCUUAUCCUUGGUGUUUGUAUUUUCUUAACAAACCCAAUGAAUUUUCUUUAGAAGAAAAUUUUCAAUGUAGUAUCAUGAUUUCAACUUUCAUGCCCAGUAAAAUUUUGACACAUCCUAUGUGCAUGCUACAGAUAUGACUAUGUUUCAUCUAACACGUCCAGAGAUAUACAUAUUUGUAUAGCCCCACACGCUUAUUCAACUCUUAGCUCCUAGUGGUCUCUGAUACAGAUCCAUUCCUGUUUCUAGACUGCUGGUUCAUGUAGCUAUAUUCAUAAUGAUUGUGAUACCAAUGUAGCAGGGUUUGCUUCCCACUGUCUUGGCAAUAACCAGUUAACCACUAGUCUUUUUUUCACUUUAUUUUGCCACAUAUUUCUUUCAUCAUCUUAUAUGAGAAAGUUACUGUUAUCAACUGUAGUCAGAGAACCAACAUAUUUUCAUUGGUGAAAAACUUGUACUGAAGAAUGUGCUAGAACAAAAACCUGGAAUCUUACAUGUAAGAUCAUGUCAUCCAGAUCAAUAGUAUCUCCAUUGUCUUUCACAGUCUACAAGGGACUCUUAACUUGUGUCUCCCUUCAGGGCAGUGGGGACUCUCAAACACCAGGAGACCCCAGCUUAUUGGUGACUACUGUUUACUACUAUGCAUGGACAAACUGGGCAAACAAUAAAAGUAUCUGAUCUUCCCAAGUUAUUUAUUAGUAGAACUACCCAAUACUUAGUCCAGUGUCAUCAGCUCAUUGCUGGUGGUUGACUUUCUUCUCUCUGGGUUGCAAGUGGAUGAAUGAUGAAACUGGCAAGGCUGUUUGCACUUCUACUGUUUCGGUUUGGUUUAUUCCAGAGAAUCACAUCCAGGGAUGAGAUUAUUAAACUUGCUUAUCUUGCUAACUCUGCUUGAACUUAUGGAAAGUGUACUCAUGGCAUCUUUGCAUUGCCAGCAUUGUUGGUUUACAAUUAGCAACUACAGCAUGAUGCAUAUUGGUCAACCAUAAGGAUCAUCUUAUGUGUGUGCACUGCAGAUACUUUUAUCUGGAUAUCUGACCACUGAGCAUUUGCUGCUGUUUCUGAGACUAAUGCACCACUACAAAUGCUUCAUCAUCUGUAGUUGUACACCUUCUUGUGCAAUUCAUAUAUCACCUAUUCAAACACUCGAGUGAUGGGCAAGUUAUCUACUCUCUCAAGUGAUGGAAUAAGCUAUUUGAUGACCAGUUCAGUGCAAGUAAACUGGACACCAGCUUCUGACAUUUGCUUAUUAAUGGUCACUGAGUUUAAGGGCUGAGUACAUGACUUCCCUUGUUCCCUGAGGAUUGUACAAAGGACAGAUAUUACUAGUAAACUGCCUUGAGUCAACUGUAGGUAUUACAGUAUUGCUGUUUAGGUAAUGUGCAGUUUUUGUUAUUAGAAAACUGCUAGUGGUCAAAGCAUCUCUCAUAUUCCCAAUAGCUUUGCUCCAAAAGAUAAUCUGAUCUGAGUCUCAAAAACAUUAGCCACAAGAUGAGUUUUUUUUUUAUUUAAAUCAUGUUAGACUUUUUGGGCUUCCAUACAAAAUAAAAGCUUUCCAAAGUCAAACUAUGAAAACCACAUAGAGCCUGACUUCAAAAACAGAGUCUCAUGAAAUUUCCUGGCAGCUCUGGACUGAGUUUACUACACUAGUAUUUGGUACAGUCAACUGUAUUAUUCAUUCCAAGCUUGAAGACGCAUCUCCUGCAGUCAAGCAAGCUCUUGGUUCUUCUCAACCACUCUCACCUCCUUUGCAGAUCUGAGAAUGGCUGCCUGAAGGAAGGAGGACAUCAAAAGACAACAUGGCAUUUCCAUCAGGGGUGACACAAAACAUCUUAAAUCCAAGAAGGAAUACCUGCUUUUUGGUUAUCUCCACUGAGAAGCCAUCAACAAUUGCCAGAGAGGACUUCUUCCUGUAGGAGUUUGGUGGGAGAAGCUUUGCCAGUAGCUGGUCAUGCUUGUGACUCAG
This 7308-nucleotide long non-coding RNA is filed under the name Musa acuminata (dwarf banana). RNAcentral's name for it is "long non-coding RNA (MACU_LNC002422)". The record is from RNAcentral. Lineage: Eukaryota; Viridiplantae; Streptophyta; Magnoliopsida; Zingiberales; Musaceae.